CAGCAGCCGCGGGAAUACGAGGGGGGCAAGCGUUGUUCGGAAUUAUUGGGCGUAAAGGGCGCGUAGGCGGUUUGGCAAGUUUGGUGUGAAAUCUUCGGGCUCAACUCGAAGUCUGCAUCGAAAACUGCCGGGCUUGAGUAUGGGAGAGGUGAGUGGAAUUUCCGGUGUAGCGGUGAAAUGCGUAGAUAUCGGAAGGAACACCUGUGGCGGAAGCGGCUCACUGGACCAUUACUGACGCUGAGGCGCGAAAGCUAGGGGAGCAAACAGGAUUAGAUACCCGGGUAGUCCCUGUCUCUUAUAC
RNAcentral lists this ribosomal RNA (301 nucleotides) under uncultured bacterium. RNAcentral describes it as "partial 16S ribosomal RNA". It matches the Rfam family "Bacterial small subunit ribosomal RNA", at positions 509 to 807 of the family's 1533-position model. The record is from RNAcentral.